AGUACCACCAAUAAGUGACGUUCUAAAGUUUGGGAUCAUUUUGAUCUCAUCGCACCAAAUAAGGUGCGGUGUUUGCAAUGCACACAAGAGUUGUCUCACAGCAACAACACAUCAUCUAUGCUGAGACACUUGCGUGCUCGGCAUGACGACAAUCACGACCCUGUCAACACUGGAAAUCCUGACAAUAUUUGAAAGAACAAAUUCUGACAAGAGCUGAGGAUCCCUUGAAGUACUGGGUGGCACGAAAGACUUUAAAUCCUACGCUGUGGAAACUUGCAAGUAUCUGUGCAUCCCAGCAUAAUCUGUUCCCUGAGAAAGAAUAUUUUCCAAAGCUGGGGAAGCUGGUCAGCCAGAAGAGGAGCAGACUGAAAGCCCCCAAAUGACAAACCA
RNAcentral lists this long non-coding RNA (390 nucleotides) under Takifugu rubripes (torafugu). RNAcentral describes it as "lncRNA (ENSTRUG00000033344.1)". Lineage: Eukaryota; Metazoa; Chordata; Actinopteri; Tetraodontiformes; Tetraodontidae. The record is from RNAcentral.